UUUUUUUGUUUUUUGUUUUUUGUUUUUUGUCUUUUUGCUAUUUCUUUGGGCCGUUCCCAUGGCAUAUGGAGGUUCCCAGGCUAGGGGUCGAAUCGGAGCUGUAGCCACCGGCCUACUCCAGAGCCACAGCAACGCGGGAUCCGAGCCGUGUCUGCAACCUACGCCACAGCUCACGGCAACACCAGAUCGUUAACCCACUGAGCAAGGGCAGGGACCGAACCCGCAACCUUGUGGUUCCUAGUCGGAUUCGUUAACCACUGUGCCACGACGGGAACUCCAAACUGAGUAUUUAUUUAACUGAGUAUUUGUUUCUCUUUUUUUGUGUGUGGGGGGUACUAUUAUACAUGAUACUGUGUUUUUAAUUUCAGUUUCACUUGUUCGUCUGGUUUAUAGGAAAGUGAUGACCUUUUCUAUAUUAACCAUGUAUCCUAAAGUCUUGUUGUAAUGCUUCUUAUUUUCAGGAUUUUAUUUUUAUUUGGUCUACUUUUGUUUGUUUUCCAUAGCUGUUUUAUUCCUUCCUUUCUGAUCAGUAUACCUUUUCUAUAACCUUCUCUUAUUGCAUUAGCUAUGAAUUCUAGUAUAAAUUGAAAGGGAGUUUUAAGAGGGAUUAUCCUUGCCUUCUUCAUAGUAGUCUGAAAUUUCUAGUUUAUUUCUAGUAGUUAUGUUGAUAACUAUAGGGUUUUAUUUAGAUCAUCAAGUUGAAGUCUUUCUGUGUUUAGAAUACUAGGAGAUGGAGCCUUCUAUCAUGAAUGGAUUUGCAUAUUUUCAGACCCUUUUUCUGCCCUGUUGAUGAGAUCAUGUGUUUUUUAAGGUGUUGAUGAUGUGGAUUCAUUUCCACUGGCCAUAGUGGGAACUCCUGUUUUGCCUCUUUUUUUUUUUUUUUUUUUUUUUUUUUUGUCUUUUUGCCAUUUCUUGGGCCGCUCCCGUGGCAUAUGGAGGUUCCCGGGCUAGGGGUCGAAUCGGAGCUGCAGCUGCCAGCCUGCGCCAGAGCCACAGCAACGCAGGAUCUGAGCUGCGUCUGCAACCUACACCACAGCUCACGGCAACGCCGGAACCCUGACCCACUGAGCAAGGGCAGGGAUCGAACCCUCAACCUCAUGGUUCCUAGUCGGAUUCGUUAACCACUGUGGCACGAUGGGAACUCCUUGCCUCAUAUUUUGAUAUUCUGUUGGUAGGUGGAAACAUGUUAAGGAUUAUUGUGUAUCCUGAAGAAUUGACUCCUUUAUCAUUGUGUCAUUCUCUUUAUCCCUGAUAACUUUGCUUACUUGAAAUCUGCUCUGAUGUUAACAGUUACUAUCAAUUUUUUUUCAAAUAGAGUUAGCCUCUCUUAUUAAUUAACUUUUAAUCUAUAUGUAGCUUUCUAUUUAAAGUGAGUUUCUUGGAGACAUCAUAUAGUUGAGACCUGUUUUUGCUCCACUCUGAGAAAUUCUAUUAAUUGGUGCGUUAAGACUGUUGACAUUUCAUGUGUUGAUACAGUUGGAUAAAUAUCUAAUAUAUUUGUUACUAUUUUCUGUUGAUUGCCCUUGUUCUUCGUUUAUAUUUUAAUUUGCACUAUUCUUGCUGGGGUUUUUUUGUGUGUGUGUGUUUGUUUCUUUUGGCUGUGCCUGUGGCAUGUGGAAGUUCAGGGCCAGGGAUUGAACCCACACCACAGCAGCAAUCCAAGCCACUGCAGUGACAAUGUGAGAUCCUUAACUCACUGCAUCACAAGAGAACUCCCUUGUUUUUGUGGUUUUAAUCAAGGAUUCUGUGAGAUUGCAUUUUCUCUCCUUGUUUCUUUCUUUCCUUCCUCCCCUCCCCUCCUUUCCCCCCUCCCUUUUCUUUCCUUCUAGCAUAGUUAUCCUAGAAUUUGUGAUAGGUCUUUACAACUAAUUGAAGUCUACUUUCAUAUGUCAUUACAUGGCUUCCUGGGUAGUUCAAAUAUAAAACCAAAAAAAAAGCUUUACUUCUUCCAUUCUGUGAUUGCUAUAAUCCAUUUUAAUUUUACAUAGAAUACCCAAGUAUGUGUGUAAAAAUGCGUAAUGGAACGCACUGUUGCUUUUGUUCUUUUGAACAAAUUAUUAUCUAUUAGGUUGGAAUAGGCAUUUUUGCAAAGAAGACAUGUAAAUAGCAAAGAGCUACAUGGAAAUAUGCUCAGUAUCACUGGUGGUCAGGGGAAUGCAAAUCAAAACCACAGUGGGUGAAGGAUCUGGUGUAUCUCCAGCUUAAAUUCAGUCCCUGGCCCAGGAACUUCCAUAUAUUGUGGGGGCAGCCCCAAAAUAACAUGAAGUAAAGAUAAAAAGAUGGGAGAGCAGGGCCCCUUUGUGCACUGUUGGUGGAAAUGUCCAUUGUUGCAACCGCUACGGAAAAGAAUGUGGAGAAUACUUAGAAAAUGAAAAAAAGGAACUACCCUAUGAGUCAGCAGUUCCACAUCUUUGUAUUUAUCUAAACGGAGUCAAAUCAUCAUGCCAGAAAACAUUUGUACUUAUCUUUAUUGCAACAUUAUUAACAAUAUCCACGACGUGGAAACAACCAAAGUGUCUGUUGGUGGAUGAGUGGAUAACAGACGUGGUAGAUACGGAAUGUUAUUCAGUGUUAUUCUCCUAUUAAAAAAAGGAAAUCUUGCCAUUUGCAACAACAUGGAUGGACUUUCAGGGUGUUAUGCUAAGUAAAAUAAGUCAGAGAGAGAAAGGCACAAUUGUCUCUCAGUUUCCACAGAGGGUUUGUUCCAGUAGCCCCUGCAUCCAUUAAAAUUUUUGGAUGCUGAAGUCUCAUAGUCAGCCCUCUGAUUCUGAAGUUUAGAAUUUGUGGAUUCAUCCAACCACAGAUCAUGUAGUGUUGCUUUGUUGUAUUUUUUGAAAAAUAUCCAUGUAUGAGUGGACCCACGCAUAUCUAACCUAUGUUGUUCAAGGGUCACCGGUACUACAUUAUUAUACCUGUAUAUGGAAUAUUUAUUUAUUUAUUUAUUUAUUAUUGUGGCUGCACCCUUGUGGAAGUUCCUGGACCAGAAGUUGUAGCAACACCAGAUCCUUUAACCCACUGCACUGGGCUGGGGGUCAGACUGCACCUAUGCAGCGACCCAAGCUGCUGAGGUCGGAUUCUUAACCCACUGUGUCAUGAUGGCAGGAACUCCUCUGGAAUCCU
Molecule: long non-coding RNA, 3120 nt
Filed under: Sus scrofa (pig)
Lineage: Eukaryota; Metazoa; Chordata; Mammalia; Artiodactyla; Suidae
Description: lncRNA (ENSSSCG00000055663.1)
Source: RNAcentral